Molecule: ribosomal RNA, 550 nt
Filed under: uncultured bacterium
Lineage: Bacteria
Description: bacterial SSU rRNA
Rfam family: Bacterial small subunit ribosomal RNA
Source: RNAcentral
UAGGGAAUCUUCGGCAAUGGGGGGAACCCUGACCGAGCAACGCCGCGUGAGUGAAGAAGGUUUUCGGAUCGUAAAGCUCUGUUGUUAAGGAAGAACGAGUGUGAGAAUGGAAAGUUCAUACUGUGACGGUACUUAACCAGAAAGGGACGGCUAACUACGUGCCAGCAGCCGCGGUAAUACGUAGGUCCCGAGCGUUGUCCGGAUUUAUUGGGCGUAAAGCGAGCGCAGGCGGUUAGAAAAGUCUGAAGUGAAAGGCAGUGGCUCAACCAUUGUAGGCUUUGGAAACUGUUUAACUUGAGUGCAGAAGGGGAGAGUGGAAUUCCAUGUGUAGCGGUGAAAUGCGUAGAUAUAUGGAGGAACACCGGUGGCGAAAGCGGCUCUCUGGUCUGUAACUGACACUGAGGCUCGAAAGCGUGGGGAGCGAACAGGAUUAGAUACCCUGGUAGUCCACGCCGUAAACGAUGAGUGCUAGGUGUUAGGUCCUUUCCGGGACUUAGUGCCGCAGCUAACGCAUUAAGCACUCCGCCUGGGGAGUACGACCGCAAGGUUG